RNAcentral lists this transfer RNA (109 nucleotides) under Patescibacteria group bacterium. RNAcentral describes it as "tRNA-Gln". It matches the Rfam family "tRNA". Rfam says of the family: Transfer RNA (tRNA) molecules are approximately 80 nucleotides in length. Their secondary structure includes four short double-helical elements and three loops (D, anti-codon, and T loops). The record is from RNAcentral.
AGCCCUGUCGUCUAGCGGUCAAAUCUUCAAGUGCUAUAAAAGGUACAGAAGAGACUAUAGAUACAAGCCUUUGGAGCUUGUGACCCAGGUUCGAAUCCUGGCAGGGCUA